Molecule: ribosomal RNA, 383 nt
Filed under: uncultured bacterium
Lineage: Bacteria
Description: bacterial SSU rRNA
Rfam family: Bacterial small subunit ribosomal RNA
Source: RNAcentral
AUUGAACGCUGGCGGAAUGCUUUACACAUGCAAGUCGAACGGUGGAGGGGGCAACCCCUUGAGAGUGGCGAACGGGUGAGUAAUAUAUCGGAACGUGCCCAGUCGUGGGGACAACGUAGCGAAAGUUACGCUAAUACCGCAUACGAUCUACGGAUGAAAGCGGGGGACUCGCAAGAGCCUCGCGCGAUUGGAGCGGCCGAUAUCAGAUUAGGUAGUUGGUGAGGUAAAGGCUCACCAAGCCGACGAUCUGUAGCUGGUCUGAGAGGACGACCAGCCACACUGGGACUGAGACACGGCCCAGACUCCUACGGGAGGCAGCAGUGGGGAAUUUUGGACAAUGGGCGCAAGCCUGAUCCAGCAAUGCCGCGUGCAGGAUGAAGGCC